UACGUAGGGCGCAAGCGUUGUCCGGAAUUAUUGGGCGUAAAGAGCUCGUAGGCGGUUUGUCGCGUCUGCUGUGAAAACCUAAGGCUCAACCUUGGGCUUGCAGUGGGUACGGGCAGACUAGAGUGCGGUAGGGGAGAUCGGAAUUCCUGGUGUAGCGGUGAAAUGCGCAGAUAUCAGGAGGAACACCGGUGGCGAAGGCGGAUCUCUGGGCCGUAACUGACGCUGAGGAGCGAAAGCAUGGGGAGCGAACAGG
Molecule: ribosomal RNA, 253 nt
Filed under: uncultured bacterium
Lineage: Bacteria
Description: partial 16S ribosomal RNA
Rfam family: Bacterial small subunit ribosomal RNA
Source: RNAcentral